RNAcentral lists this long non-coding RNA (470 nucleotides) under Homo sapiens (human). Its description in RNAcentral is "HSALNT0149533". The record is from RNAcentral. Lineage: Eukaryota; Metazoa; Chordata; Mammalia; Primates; Hominidae.
UUUCAUCUCAUCUCAUUUCGAUUUUAUUUCAAUUUCAUUUCACUAUUUCAUUUCAUCUCAUCAUUUCAUCUCACCAUUUCAUUUCAUCAUCUCAUCUCAUCAUUUCAUUUCAUCAUUCAUCUCAUCAUCUCAUCAUUCAUCUCAUCAUUUCAUAUCAUCAUUUUAUCUCAUCUAUCAUUUCAUCUCAUUUCAUCUCAUCCCAUUCCAUCAUUACAUCUCAUUUCAUCUCAUUUUAUGUCAUCAUUUCAUGUCAUCAUUUCAUCACAUCUCAUCAUUUCAUCUCAUCAUUUCAUCAUUUCAUCUCAUUUCAACUCAUUGCAUCUCAGCUCAUCAUUUCCAUUUCAUUAUUCCAUUUCAUCAUUUCAUUCAUUAUGUCAUUUCAUCUCAUCAUAUUUCAUCUCAUCUCAUCAUUUCAUCUCAUUUUAUCUCAUCUCAUCAUUUCAUCAUUUCAUCUCAUCAUUUCUUCUCAU